RNAcentral lists this ribosomal RNA (501 nucleotides) under uncultured bacterium. RNAcentral describes it as "partial 16S ribosomal RNA". It matches the Rfam family "Bacterial small subunit ribosomal RNA", at positions 30 to 523 of the family's 1533-position model. The record is from RNAcentral.
AUUGAACGCUGGCGGCAGGCUUAACACAUGCAAGUCGAGCGGGGGAAGGUAGCUUGCUACCGGACCUAGCGGCGGACGGGUGAGUAAUGCUUAGGAAUCUGCCUAUUAGUGGGGGACAACAUCUCGAAAGGGAUGCUAAUACCGCAUACGUCCUACGGGAGAAAGCAGGGGAUCUUCGGACCUUGCGCUAAUAGAUGAGCCUAAGUCGGAUUAGCUCGUUGGUGGGGUAAAGGCCUACCAAGGCGACGAUCUGUAGCAGGUCUGAGAGGAUGAGCCGCCAAGCUGGGGCUGAGACACGGCCCAGACUCCUACGGGAGGCAGCAGUGGGGAAUAUUGGACAAUGGGGGGAAGCCUGAUCCAGCCAUGCCGCGUGUGUGAAGAAGGCCUUAUGGUUGUAAAGCACUUUAAGCGAGGAGGAGGCUACUCUAGUUAAUACCUAGGGAUAGUGGACGUUACUCGCAGAAUAAGCACCGGCUAACUCUGUGCCAGCCGCCGCGGUAA